Molecule: ribosomal RNA, 956 nt
Filed under: Clostridioides difficile
Lineage: Bacteria; Bacillati; Bacillota; Clostridia; Peptostreptococcales; Peptostreptococcaceae
Description: partial 23S ribosomal RNA
Rfam family: Bacterial large subunit ribosomal RNA
Source: RNAcentral
ACAGGUUGAUAUUCCUGUACUACCGAUAACCGUUUGAGAGAAGGGAUGACACAGUAGGAUAAGCUAAGCACACUGUUGGUUAUGUGUGCCCAAGCAUUGAGGCAGUCAAAGUAGGCAAAUCCGCUUUGAUAAUGCUGGGAUGUGAUGGGGAGCGAAAUUUAGUAGCGAAGUAGCUGAUUUCACACUGUCAAGAAAAGUCUCUAUCGAGGUUAAAGGUACCCGUACCGCAAACCGACACAGGUGGGUGAGGAGAGUAUCCUAAGGCCAGCGAGAGAACUGUUGUUAAGGAACUCGGCAAAAUGACCCCGUAACUUAGGGAUAAGGGGUGCCACCAUCAGGUGGCCGCAGAGAAUAGGCCCAAGCGACUGUUUACCAAAAACAUAGGUUUCUGCUAAGUCGCAAGACGAUGUAUAGGAGCUGACGCCUGCCCGGUGCUGGAAGGUUAAGGGGAUCUGUUAGAGUAAUCGAAGCAGUGAACUUAAGCCCCAGUAAACGGCGGCCGUAACUAUAACGGUCCUAAGGGAGCGAAAUUCCUUGUCGGGUAAGUUCCGACCCGCACGAAAGGCGUAACGAUUUGGGCACUGUCUCAACAACAGACUCGGUGAAAUUGUAAUUCCGGUGAAGAUGCCGGAUACCUGCGACAGGACGGAAAGACCCCAUGGAGCUUUACUGUAGCUUGACAUUGGGUCUUGGUACUACAUGUACAGGAUAGGUGGGAGGCUUUGAAACCAGGACGCCAGUUUUGGCGGAGCCAUCCUUGGGAUACCACCCUUGUAGUACUGGGACUCUAACCAUAGGCCAUGAAUCUGGUCUUGGGACACUGUCAGGUGGGCAGUUUGACUGGGGCGGUCGCCUCCCAAAAGGUAACGGAGGCGCUCAAAGGUUCUCUCAGUACGGUCGGAAAUCGUACGUAGAGUGUAAAGGCAAAAGAGAGCUUGAUUGCAAGACAUACAGGU